GUAGGUGGCAAGCGUUGUCCGGAAUUAUUGGGCGUAAAGCGCGCGCAGGCGGUUCUUUAAGUCUGAUGUGAAAGCCCACGGCUCAACCGUGGAGGGUCAUUGGAAACUGGAGAACUUGAGUACAGAAGAGGAAAGCGGAAUUCCACGUGUAGCGGUGAAAUGCGUAGAGAUGUGGAGGAACACCAGUGGCGAAGGCGGCUUUCUGGUCUGUAACUGACGCUGAGGCGCGAAAGCGUGGGGAGCAAACAGGGAUUAGAUACCCUGGUAGUCCACGCCGUAAACGAUGAGUGCUAAGUGUUAGGGGGUUUCCGCCCCUUAGUGCCUGCAGCUAACGCAUUAAGCACUCCGCCUGGGGAUACGGCCGCAAGGCUG
Molecule: ribosomal RNA, 372 nt
Filed under: uncultured organism
Description: partial 16S ribosomal RNA
Rfam family: Bacterial small subunit ribosomal RNA
Source: RNAcentral